AAAUAAUAUUAAGAAUGAUUUUAUAAUUAGAUACAUUAUAUGAUUAUAGAAUAAUCAUACAUAUACUGUGUGUAUGUGUGUAUGUAUGUACAAAAAUGUUACAAUUAAAAACUGCUGGGGAUACAGCUCAGGUGGUAGAGUGGUUGCCUUGAAUGCACAAGGCCCUGAGUUCAAUCGCCGGCACCACAAAAAACAAACAAAAAACUUGGUGAAACUAUCUGUGCCUCAAAACAUCUUGAUCUGCCCUUCAGGUCAGGUGGCUGUCCAGGAAAUCUCUAGUUUCCCAGAUGGUCUUUCUGUUCAUUCAGGAAGGACUUUCUAACCUGACCCACUUACAUCUCUGGGUGACGUGGAUCACCAAGCUUCUCCCUGUGUCUGACCCGUCCACCAGGCCUCAAGCUGGAGCAUGCUGGCCAUCAGCCUGCGUGGCUGGGGGUUGGGGGUAGGCACACGGCUGGAGCAGGCCCUGGCACAAGGGUGUGGCGGGGCAGGUAGCUGUCCGCCACGGAGGGAGGGCAUGGCCUGGCGACUUCCCCGCACACUAUUCCUGUGCUGAAGCCCAAGUCUGAACCCUCGCUUCUGGUUUCUUUGAAAAUCUUUGGUGCACAAAUAAGCAAAUGAGGGACAAGGAAUGUCCAGUCAUUGUUUGAGGAGUUUCUGGAAUUCGGAGCAUUGUGAUUCUAGUUGUUUGGAAAAGCUUUGGGUUGCCUGUUUAUCAUACAGCACAGGCACAUGAAUAACUUCCUGGGGGACUGGCCCGCAUUCUUGGUCCCCUUGGCGUCUCUUGCCCAGCAAGGUUCAUUCAGGGCGUCUUCCCAACAUCCUGUCUGGGAAUGACCUUCUUUUCUCCACUUACUGAGCUCUUGGAGUCCUUAUUGAAAUGACCUCCUGCACAGGAAGGCCCGCUGUGGCGCCUGGCAAGAGAAAACAGCCCUGGUUUCUAGGAAGUCUCUCUCUCUCUCUCUCUCUCUCUCUCUCUCUCUCUCUUUCUCUCUUUCACACACACACACACACACACACACUGGCAAAGGCCAAGUGUUCUUCCGAAGGCCUGGUAUGGAAGACCAGCAGACAUUUCAGCAACGUUCAAAACAGAGGCAGAGACGGGCACAGGGCACAUGGGUGAAACCAGCCGUUGUCACAGGUGGCGUCUGCAGUGGCCACAGCAAGCCAAAGUGGGCCUGAGGGGAAAAGACAGAGAGCUGUCCCCCACGGAGGAAAGGCAUCGCCUGCUUUCAGGCUGAAAAAUUAUUCACUGAGAUGUCUGCAAAGCCAGUGGCACUUAGGAGAAAAAUAAUUGUGGAAUUUAUGUAAAAGGAAUUAUGCUCCAUCUCCAGUGCAGAAAAACUAAUGGCUGUCAUGUUCUGAAGCUGUCAGAAUUUUUUUUUCCCCUUUUCAUUUUUCUAAAGGAUACCAGUGUGAACAGGGGAACCCAGAAGAAAGGGGCAGGUGUGUCCUUUAAAUUGGUUCUCCAUCUCAAGUAAGACCUGCUUGAACAUCAUCAAGAACUUUAAAGUUCUCCCCUCCCACCCUGGUAGAAGGAUUCCUUUUUUAUUUAGAACUAAUACUUUUGUAAUUGUCGUGUAAAGACAUUCAUCAGACAGGGAUUCUGAUAACUGAAGAGUUAAGUGACCUGCCCUGGUUUGAGUGCAGAACUGUGAGUCCCACUGCAUGGUGUUCGCCUGAACUGCCCUCUCCGUGGUCCAAGCAGCGUCCUCAGUGUGACCUAAGCAAGGCCCCGUGCUCAGAAGUGCUCCCCACCAGUUUGACACUCCGCAGUGGCUACCUUGAAAUCCUUCACAGUUAUCAUCUUUGAACUUAUGUCUUAUAAUUGAACUCCAACGGAACAACAGGACACAUGUGUGAGCUGGGUAGUUACAUGCAAGAAGCGUGUCCACUGAUCUUUUCUGACAUUCAUGUUUAGUCUUUGUGAUGCCCCUUGAGCCCAGAAAUCUACUCAAAGCAAAUACGAGGAAAGUGUAUGUACAGUACAGGUGUGGGGGUGCAAGCUUGUGAUCCCAGCAAUGUGGGGCGCUAAGGCAGGAGGAGUACAAGUUGAAGGCCAACUUGGGUAACUUAGUGAGAUCUUGUCUCAAAAUAAAACAAAAACGUCUGGGGGUAUGGCUCAGUGGCAGAGCGCCUCUGGGUUCAGUCCCCAGUACUAAAAAAAAAAAGAAAAGAAAACCUACAUCAAGUGAGGUGAGGCAGGGAAAAGGAGGAACUCCUUCCAUUUGAACCAGAAUUUGAAUGAAGAAGGAAGUCCAUGGUAUUCUAAGAAACACCAAUGACCAGGGACACCAUCAUGCCCUUUCUGCUUCCCCAACAUCAAUCAGGUGAACUCUGGAAAUGAAGACUUACACUAAGAGCAAAAGAGAGGGCAACUGCAAUCCUUUACCUAUUUCCUCUUUCCUUCCUCAUCACUGAGCCAAAGGUCCAGACUGCUGGUAGGAUGUGUGAGUAUCAGGGGUGAAAUGAAAAGAAUUGAGUUAGUUUGGGGCAAUAUUUCCACUCUUCUGAAAAGAAUGAAACUACACAUGCAUAAAUAAGCUACAAAACUGGAAUUAUGGACCAAGUAAUUUCAGUGAUUCCGUGUACAAAUAAAAUACCUUAUAUUUGCAUUUUAAAAAAGACUUUGCACAGCAUAAAGAUAAAUGGUAAAAUUCACGCCAACAGUUAAAAAUUCUAUUUUUUUUCUUUUUAUUUAGAAUAACAUUAAAAUGACAAGUUAAAAACAUUCUGGCAAGUUGAGUGACUAUAGAAGAAAGGAAAACAGUUUACAUAACAAUGUCUUAAUGCUAAUUUCUUCCCCUGUCUUUAAACAAUUUUCAUUUUGCACUGGGCCCCACAAAAUAUAUAGCUGGCCCUGCUGGUGAUAAACACAGAUUUCUGUGGAAACACACAAUAGCCUUGGCAAUGGAUGUGGACAGCUUGUGUCCACUAGGGUUCACAGCACGUUUACAUAGAACUUCAUGUUAAUGGUUGUUUUUGUUUGGAUUCCCUCCGAGAUGCACCCUGGGAUGAGGAAUCCAAUCAGAAGGAUUAUCUCUGAAGCCAAGAGGGGAGCAAGAAAAGCAGGUGAGGAAGGGAAGACAAUCAGCCAUGUGCCACAAAGGUGUCACCCCUGUGGGGAAUGGAGCUCCUUCCUGCUGGGGACGAGGCAGUGUUAUCCCAGAUUACCCCAGACCCAGGACAGGGAAGCUGGAGCAUUUGUCUGCUAUUGAUGGUCAGUUACUCCUGGAGAUACUAAUUCUCUGCCAUUUCUAGUGUGGUCUGCUCCUGGUUACUAUGGCCAGAAAGAAACACCCCUAAGAAGAGAAUCCCAGGUAUAGACAGGGUGCCAACAGAACCUAUAACAUUAGUCAGGCUGAAGAUAUGUGUUAAAAUUACUAGUGAGACCCUGGAAAGACGGGGGACAAG
This 3417-nucleotide long non-coding RNA is filed under the name Marmota monax (woodchuck). The record is from RNAcentral. Lineage: Eukaryota; Metazoa; Chordata; Mammalia; Rodentia; Sciuridae.